AAGAUCUAUUACACGAACCUACAAUUACCGUUUUUUAUUGGGGUGUAAUUUGCCUCCUUUAACAGAGAUAAAUGAUUACUAUAUUUCUGGGGUUGAAUUCGGACAAUUUUCGCGUUAUUGUAUUCGAUUCGUUGUACUUAUUCCGCGUUAAUCCGGAAAUGAUUUUUUUCAUCUUUACAACGUGUUCCCGUCACCAAAUUAUCAAGUAACUUGUUCAUCUUUCGUUUCGCGAUGCACGAGUCACGAGUCAUGUAAUUCCGUGACAAAGGUUUGAGAAAGCUUUAUUACGCUUUCACAAAUCCGCAACAGCUGUAUCCAAAAAGCUAUUGGAAAAAAAUCAUAUUUUUCAUUCUUCCGGAGCUAUAUCUUGUUGCUUGAAUUUAGCAAUGACCAAAACAAGUUUUCCAAAUGUGAGAUAUAUCCUCUCUCUGGAUCGAGAAAAACCGAGGAAAAUCAAGUGUUGUUAAAUGUGAAUGUCUGUAUUUUUUUUUACACACUUCAUAACUCAAUCAGUCAUAUUUUUUCUACCGAUGAAUCAGCCACCAACCCAUAAUGUUGAUUUAGGCACACGAUAUUACUGUACUUGCUCGCGUAGCCAGUUGAGCGAAUCCUUGCAUGAAGGAGUGCAACCUAGGAAACGGAACAACAUUCACUCCGCCAGCUUUCGCGGAAUAGUAUUCAAUUGACUGUAGAAUUUUGCUCUUUUAAUGAUAUCGUAUAACGAUAAAUCAUACGCGACUACUCAUUUCAAAGAAACAUUAUGCAACAAAAUGUAAGGAAGUAUAAUCGUUACUGCACACAUUCACUAUUCAUAUUCUAUAAGCGCUUCGAUAAUAAUUUCAAUUUUUGAAAAGAUGAUCAUACUUUGGUAGCGGAGCAUAAUUAUACGAGCUUGAUACGAUCCAGUGUUCAAUUCCUUUUUCACUCAUCGUUUUGGUCGCCAUUGUAAUUUAUCAAUUCAAGUGAGUAAUUGCAAACUAUAUUGGGAACAGACAAGAACAAAUAGGUACUGUAUAUUUCAAACUGUUUGAUAGAGACAGUUUUUAUAGUCUCUAAUACACAUUACUAGCCCUGGAAUUGCUAUUCUGUAUAACUCAUGAUGCCAUGUGUGCCGUAGAAAGUCAUUACACUCGCGACUGGCAGGCUGGAAAAAUUUAUGGAGGGACAGAAUGAGGUACGUUACAAUUUUCUAUUGUCCUGAGUUUGAGUUUUAGCCAAAUCGAAUCAAGGAUCGUGCACAAUUCUAAAAAAUAAACUCUAUAAAAGGUAUAUUUCGAUCCAAAACAUUAUGCGCAUAACUUGUCAACUCAAUCAGAUCUGUAUUCGAAAUGAGUUCAAGACCGAAGGACGUUUCGUGAUAAGAAAUGCUAAUUUUACGGUGAAACGCACCGGAGGAUCGAGAUAAGACUUGAAUACGUAUAAAAAUGUAACAUAUAGGUACGUACAAAAACAUGGCUCGGUCCUUAAAGUAGGGGCAGGUAACACUUUGUUCCUGUAAGUAGGACAAAUCGUAAAUGGCAACGAGAUAAGAUCGAUUCUGUUCCAUAACUUUUUGAAAUACAUUUUUAAUUCGGUGAAUAUUUUUUAUACAAUGUUACUACGGGUGCUAUAAAAACCGCAAUUUUUCUGCCUAGCUCCAAAUAUUCGCACCGCGGUCAAAAAUGGCAAUUUCAAAUCUGUUUCGCGUGUGCAAAUCGCGAACUGGUCACAUUUAACGACGUGGUUUUCUUUCAAAUGUUAAGUGCUCAACUGCCUUGUAGCCACGUCUUGGCAGCAGUGGUCAAGCAGGGUCGAUACUCUUAGGUCAGCUAACGCAGGACACGCGAACUCACCCUUCUGGUUCCUUAGGCGUUUAUAAAGACUCCGAUUCGACCAGAUUUCACGUGAAGAAAUUUUCCUAAGAUAUUAACAUCGUCGCAGAAUAUCACUUUAUGCAAAAAUUUGAAUUGCAGUUUUUCAAGGUAAAGCGUUGCGAAGAAGUUACGGGCUGAUAAUAAUUCUUCCGAAAUUCAAGUCGCAUGGAUAACUAUCCAGUCUCAAUAAUAGAAUAGUUAGUCGACGUUAUUUGUGUCGGCUACCAAUAGUCCUGUAAUAGUGAACUUUUUAUGUAUCUCUUUUUGAUGCAGUUUUUUUUUUUUUUUGCAUACACAGCGCUACGUAUUCAUUGUGAGGACACUAUUACAGUAGUCGUGACUUGUGCUUGCGAUAAGAAAUCGCAAGAACCUAUCAAUUGGAACCGUCCGGAAGAAUUCAUCUGACUCAUUGAAACUGCAAUAUUUUUUAAAUCAAAAUUGCACGCCACGUUGUAUAAAGUUUUCUGUCGACUGACUGGCAAAACCUGCGAUUUCUCUGAGUCGGCGAUGCGUAGUCACAAAUUCACCUCGUGUCAGCGUUGACAUUCAACUCCGCAGGGUCAUUCUAGCGGUCUCGGGUUUGCCAGUUAAACAAAUAGGUACUGCAGGCAUAAUGAAUCGAGGACACUUCUCGAUAUUCUAACAUAAAUUUCAAGCUCGGACUUUCCUUGGAUCGAAUCAAGUCGAGGGUUGGAAACAAAUUCUAAACAGUGGACGGAUACAACGGUGAAGACUUGCUAAAUAAUACAUUCGGAAGUCUUUAAACACACGAUGGAAGUGGAUACACCGUUCGUCUUUACAGAUCACCUAUCGUUAAGAAUUGUUAAAAACUAAACAAAUUUCAAAAUGGACUGCACACAUUUCGUGGGAACAUUUUUAUUUCUUUCGUUUUGCUAAUGAGUCUCAAAUGACAUUCGAUAAGAGAUCUUUAUUUUUUUUGCUUCUAAUGUUACCAUUUUUAUUAAAAAAUUUCGAGAAUAUUGUACAAAAAACAACGGCUGGGUAAUUUAUUUUGUCACAAAGACGUAUAUGAGAGAAAUAUUCUGUAAAAGAAUUUAAAAAAUCGCUCUAUUCUUUUACUGUUAUCAUGACUUCGGCGUGCAGCAAAAUAGUAAUUAAUUGUGCCACGGAUACUCAAACGUUAUAUCUUUACUUCGCUAAUACCUGUUUAAUUGUAGUAUGAUACAAAGGGCGAAAUUCACAACCAGUUGCUUAUAUGCAAGCGCUUGUUAAUUCCUUACUAUGUAGUAUAUCUUAGCACCGUGAAUCCUGGUCAAAUAUAUAAGCUAAUGGAUCAAGUUUACUGGUAAAGACCCUCCAGUAAGUUUCCUAGAAUGUCUGAAGGACAUCUGCCCAGUUGGCCGUGCGGCUUUACACUCUCUAGAGCGUAUACGAUCUAACUGAACCACUGUGUACGAACAGGUAUGCAUUAUCUUCCCCUGAAUAAAUAGCUAUAGUAACACUUGUCAUGCGUAAAUCGAAACUGUUUCAACUUUCAUUAAGGUC
Long non-coding RNA from Neodiprion fabricii, 3359 nucleotides. RefSeq lists it as uncharacterized. The record is from RefSeq and is a predicted model, not a curated record. NCBI's taxonomy places the organism in Eukaryota, Metazoa, Arthropoda, Insecta, Hymenoptera, Diprionidae. The transcript has 2 exons.